This 490-nucleotide ribosomal RNA is filed under the name uncultured bacterium. RNAcentral describes it as "partial 16S ribosomal RNA". It matches the Rfam family "Bacterial small subunit ribosomal RNA", at positions 30 to 507 of the family's 1533-position model. The record is from RNAcentral.
AUUGAACGCUGGCGGCAGGCCUAACACAUGCAAGUCGAACGGUAACAGGAAGAAGCUUGCUUCUUUGCUGACGAGUGGCGGACGGGUGAGUCAUGUCUGGGAAACUGCCUGAUGGAGGGGGAUAACUACUGGAAACGGUAGCUAAUACCGCAUAACGUCGCAAGACCAAAGAGGGGGACCUUCGGGCCUCUUGCCAUCGGCUGUGCCCAGAUGGGAUUAGCUAGUAGGUGGGGUAACGGCUCACCUAGGCAACGAUCCCUAGCUGGUCUGAGAGGUUGAUCGGCCACACUGGAACUGAGACACGGUCCAGACUCCUACGGGAGGCAGCAGUGGGGAAUAUUGCGCAAUGGGCGAAAGCCUGACGGAGCAACGCCGCGUGAGUGAUGAAGGUCUUCGGAUCGUAAAGCUCUGUCAGUAGGGAAGAACAAAUGUGUAAGAAACUAUGCACGUCUUGACGGUACCUAAUCAGAAAGCAACGGCUAACUCCGUG